This is a long non-coding RNA of Mytilus californianus (California mussel), 575 nucleotides long. RefSeq lists it as uncharacterized. The transcript has 7 exons. NCBI's taxonomy places the organism in Eukaryota, Metazoa, Mollusca, Bivalvia, Mytilida, Mytilidae. The record is from RefSeq and is a predicted model, not a curated record.
UACCCGUAUGUAGAAAUGACUUGUCGACAAUCGGUAAUGUUUAUAAAGGAAACGAAAAUGGAAAUUCUUUUUAACCAAAAAGUUUGAAGAUCUAUUUGUAUUUAUCUAUUCAAGGUCCAGUCAAUUUAUAACUAUAGACCCUUGUCCAGUCAAUGUGACCCUCGUCCAGUCAAUGUGACCCUCGUCCAGUCAAUGUGACCCUCGUCCAGUCAAUGUGACCCUCGUCCAGUCAAUGUGAUCCUUGUCCAGUCAAGUUGUUGUUAUAGGUCGGCAAAAGUGCAAUUGAUGUUUUUGUGUUUGAAGGAAAAAAUCACACCCUGUUUGUAGAAUACCUCAUUUAGGAUAUAAUGGAAUAUUGGAAUGAGAAACUUCUUGCAGAUGCUGGAAAUGGAGAUAUAGAAGCUUUAAAAUUAAGCCUAGAGAAUAAAGCAGACAUUGAUUAUCAAGAUGGUAGAGGAUGGACAGCAUUAAUGUGGGCUGCCAGUGAAGGACAGCUGGAGGUCUGUAGACUUCUCAUUGAUACAGGAUGUAAGAUCAACACCACAAAUGUAUGUUAUCUACUAAGUCUGAUCACA